CAGUCGCCGCGGUAAUACGUAGGUGGCAAGCGUUGUCCGGAAUUAUUGGGCGUAAAGGGCUCGCAGGCGGUUUCUUAAGUCUGAUGUGAAAGCCCCCGGCUCAACCGGGGAGGGUCAUUGGAAACUGGGAAACUUGAGUGCAGAAGAGGAGAGUGGAAUUCCACGUGUAGCGGUGAAAUGCGUAGAGAUGUGGAGGAACACCAGUGGCGAAGGCGACUCUCUGGUCUGUAACUGACGCUGAGGAGCGAAAGCGUGGGGAGCGAACAGGAUUAGAUACCCCUGUAGUCCCUGUCUCUUAUAC
RNAcentral lists this ribosomal RNA (301 nucleotides) under uncultured bacterium. RNAcentral's name for it is "partial 16S ribosomal RNA". It matches the Rfam family "Bacterial small subunit ribosomal RNA", at positions 509 to 807 of the family's 1533-position model. The record is from RNAcentral.